GAUGAACGCUAGCGGCAGGCCUAACACAUGCAAGUCGAGGGGUAACAGGAGUAGCAAUACUUGCUGACGACCGGCGCACGGGUGAGUAACGCGUAUGCAACCUACCUUUUACUGGGGGAUAGCCCCGAGAAAUCGGGAUUAAUACCCCAUAUUAUUAUGAACGGGCAUCCGUUUAUAAUGAAAGCUCCGGCGGUAAAAGAUGGGCAUGCGUGCCAUUAGCUAGUUGGUGAGGUAACGGCUCACCAAGGCUACGAUGGCUAGGGGGUCUGAGAGGAUGAUCCCCCACACUGGUACUGAGACACGGACCAGACUCCUACGGGAGGCAGCAGUGAGGAAUAUUGGGCAAUAGGCGCAAGCCUGACCCAGCCAUGCCGCGUGCAGGAUGAAGGCCCUAUGGGUUGUAAACUGCUUUUGUACGGGACGAACCUCCCGAUCGUGAUCGGGACUGACGGUACUGUACGAAUAAGCAUCGGCUAACUCCGUGCCAGCAGCCGAC
This 496-nucleotide ribosomal RNA is filed under the name uncultured bacterium. RNAcentral's name for it is "bacterial SSU rRNA". It matches the Rfam family "Bacterial small subunit ribosomal RNA", at positions 28 to 518 of the family's 1533-position model. The record is from RNAcentral.